UGACCUCAAAUCAGGUAGGAUUACCCGCUGAACUUAAGCAUAUCAAUAAGCGGAGGAAAAGAAACUAACAAGGAUUCCCCUAGUAACUGCGAGUGAAGCGGGAAAAGCUCAAAUUUAAAAUCUGGCAGCCUUUGGCUGUCCGAGUUGUAAUCUAGAGAAGUGCUAUCCGCGCUGGACCGUGUACAAGUCUCCUGGAAUGGAGCGUCAUAGAGGGUGAGAAUCCCGUCUUUGACACGGACUGCCAGGGCUUUGUGAUGUGCUCUCGAAGAGUCGAGUUGUUUGGGAAUGCAGCUCAAAAUGGGUGGUAAAUUCCAUCUAAAGCUAAAUAUUGGCGAGAGACCGAUAGCGAACAAGUACCGUGAGGGAAAGAUGAAAAGAACUUUGGAAAGAGAGUUAAACAGUACGUGAAAUUGCUGAAAGGGAAACGCUUGAAGUCAGUCGCGUUGUCCAGGGAUCAACCUUGCUUUUGCUUGGUGCACUUUCUGGUUGACGGGUCAGCAUCAAUUUUGACCAUUGGAAAAAGAUUAGGGGAAUGUGACAUCUUAGGAUGUGUUAUAGCCCUUGGUUGCAUACAAUGGUUGGGAUUGAGGAACUCAGCACGCCGCAAGGCCGGGUUUUAACCACGUACGUGCUU
RNAcentral lists this ribosomal RNA (634 nucleotides) under Cortinarius ceraceus. RNAcentral describes it as "eukaryotic LSU rRNA". It matches the Rfam family "Eukaryotic large subunit ribosomal RNA", at positions 1 to 614 of the family's 3401-position model. The record is from RNAcentral. Lineage: Eukaryota; Fungi; Basidiomycota; Agaricomycetes; Agaricales; Cortinariaceae.